Long non-coding RNA from Amphiprion ocellaris (clown anemonefish), 878 nucleotides. The record is from Ensembl. NCBI's taxonomy places the organism in Eukaryota, Metazoa, Chordata, Actinopteri, Pomacentridae.
AGAGGAAAUGUGACGGCCCAGAUGGGAAACCUGGUAGAUUUCAUGGUGCGGUGUCUCAUUCCAUGACAUCAUGACUACAGUUCUUUAUCAGUUUCCCUGAAAAUAAAUCAGCAAUUCCUUUUUAAAGAGGAUCUUUUCUGGAACUGGACCCUGCUGGCCUUUCUCUCAUCCAAAACUAGUCUCUUAAAAUUGUUCCACAGGUUUCCCAGAGACUAUGGGUUGAGGAGGAAUUGGAAGUUUAGUCGGCUUAGACCUGGUGUCAUUCCAUCAGUGUUAAACUUCCCAGCUCAUCUUGGAAGAGUACGUGCCAGAAAGACCACGACCAAGUAGCCUUGAGAUCUUAGCAGCGUCUCCCUGAGGUCCCUCUCUAUCUCCCCACACAUCCACCAACCACUGGAACACAUCUCCAAAGUUCUGCUGGGCCAGCUCAGCUUCCCCUCAGAAGAAGUGGCGCCACCUGCCAGAUGAAGGAGCCUUUUGAGAGGCAGCUGGUAUCGUGAUUGGACUGUACUUUGGUCUGUUCCAAUCCAGCUUCAGCUCCAGAGACGGCAGGCAGGACGAGUCAACGGAGGCCUGGUGGACGAAGGCAUGCAGCUGAGUACAAUCUAGAAAACAACAGAGGAGGAGUGCAGCGGCCCAGGACCAGAACAACCAGAGUAGCAUCGUAUGUCUCUUAGAAAACAUCAUAGUAGAGCCUUUGGGAUGAAAAAAACGCCAUCAUAUACAUCGUAUAUUGUACAAAUAACAAGUCAAAGGAAAGAGACAUACAUUGUAGAAUUGUAGUAAUUGUGGGCUGACUGGCCUUGGCAAUGGUCGUCGGAAUGAGUAACACUGACCACACCUCACAGAGGUUAUAAGCUGGCAACAUCAACCACCAC